RNAcentral lists this ribosomal RNA (837 nucleotides) under Escherichia coli. Its description in RNAcentral is "partial 23S ribosomal RNA". It matches the Rfam family "Bacterial large subunit ribosomal RNA", at positions 1 to 881 of the family's 2925-position model. The record is from RNAcentral. Lineage: Bacteria; Pseudomonadati; Pseudomonadota; Gammaproteobacteria; Enterobacterales; Enterobacteriaceae.
GGUUAAGCGACUAAGCGUACACGGUGGAUGCCCUGGCAGUCAGAGGCGAUGAAGGACGUGCUAAUCUGCGAUAAGCGUCGGUGAGGUGAUAUGAACCGUUAUAACCGGCGAUUUCCGAAUGGGGAAACCCAGUGUGUUUCGACACACUAUCAUUAACUGAAUCCAUAGGUUAAUGAGGCGAACCGGGGGAACUGAAACAUCUAAGUACCCCGAGGAAAAGAAAUCAACCGAGAUUCCCCCAGUAGCGGCGAGCGAACGGGGAGGAGCCCAGAGCCUGAAUCAGUGUGUGUGUUAGUGGAAGCGUCUGGAAAGGCGUGCGAUACAGGGUGACAGCCCCGUACACAAAAAUGCACAUAUUGUGAGCUCGAUGAGUAGGGCGGGACACGUGGUAUCCUGUCUGAAUAUGGGGGGACCAUCCUCCAAGGCUAAAUACUCCUGACUGACCGAUAGUGAACCAGUACCGUGAGGGAAAGGCGAAAAGAACCCCGGCGAGGGGAGUGAAAAAGAACCUGAAACCGUGUACGUACAAGCAGUGGGAGCCUCUUAAUGGGGUGACUGCGUACCUUUUGUAUAAUGGGUCAGCGACUUAUAUUCUGUAGCAAGGUUAACCGAAUAGGGGAGCCGAAGGGAAACCGAGUCUUAACUGGGCGUUAAGUUGCAGGGUAUAGACCCGAAACCCGGUGAUCUAGCCAUGGGCAGGUUGAAGGUUGGGUAACACUAACUGGAGGACCGAACCGACUAAUGUUGAAAAAUUAGCGGAUGACUUGUGGCUGGGGGUGAAAGGCCAAUCAAACCGGGAGAUAGCUGGUUCUCCCCGAAAGCUAUUUAGGUAGCGCC